GCAGACAGCGAGGCUGCUCGGCAGUAAAUCUUAGCUCAGUUAAUAUUUCCACAUGUCUGGUGAAUAACCUUGGGAGGCCAAGAGCCCAGACAGUUUGAAGCAGGUGCAUCAGCAUGUGCUUUCCUCUCAUAUUCUGUUUGGCUUCUUUGCACCAAAUUCAUGUGCUCAUCUUGUACAUACUAAUUUUACAUGAGCUGAACUUGGCUUGAGGGCAAGGAAUAGCCCUGAUGUGCUGUUGGCUGGAGACAGCAUGAAUAACUAUGGGAGUCAGUCGGAUACAAUACAUGUGCAAAGACCUUACAAAGAGCUUACAAAUGUGGCUUUGUAACUCAAAGGGAACCGGUUGCUCUCUUAAAUUCUAACUCUUAGGAGGGGGGCACCUGGGUGGCUCAGUUGGUUAAGCCUCUGCCUUCAGUCCAGGUCAUGAUGCCCGGGUCCUGGGAUCCAGCCCUGCGUCAGGCUCCCUGCUCAGAGACAGAGCAAGUCAUGUUCUGUGACCUGAAAAGAGGUCAAGCUACCUUUAGAAGCAUGGUUAUGCUGAGGAGUAAUGGUGAAUAUUGUUCAUGCAAACUUCAUGAAAUCAAACUGAGGGUCAUGAUAUAAUUAAUCAAACUCAUGAUUUCACCUGGAUAGAAAGAAGUCUGUGGAAGUAAACAAUGUGUUUGGAAGGAAGAACAGAAAGAAUGUUUUGAAAACUUGAUAAAAACGUAAAACCCACUGUGUUGAAACACUGUUGAUGGAUUUACCUGAUGUAAUAAUUUCUGUAUCCAAAAUCAUCACCUCUAAGUUGCUCUAACUUCAGUGAAAUUUUAUAAGCAAAGACCAAUGCAUUCUUGUACGAACAGGGACUACUCACAACAUUUUCAGGGAUGAGUCACUGUAAUUACAGGUCCCAUGGGCAUUCUGGCUGAAUUUGAGCAGCAUAAAAUAAGUUUUCUUACUGAUCAAAGUUGCAUUUUGGUGAUUGCUGAGUCCUAUAUAAUUUCUGUGAUAAUAUCAUUGUAUAAUAUUAUUAAUAAUGAUUAUAUAAUUAUAUAAUAUUAUUAGAUUAUGUUAAU
Mirounga angustirostris (Northern elephant seal) is the source of this 1058-nucleotide long non-coding RNA. RefSeq lists it as uncharacterized. The record is from RefSeq and is a predicted model, not a curated record. Lineage: Eukaryota; Metazoa; Chordata; Mammalia; Carnivora; Phocidae. The transcript is spliced from 3 exons.